GAGAAAGCCAUCCAUCCAGCUGGGCAGCAGGGCGAGCCGGGUGCCGAGAGGGAGUCGCUGAAUGCCUGCGAGAGAGUCGUGACCAGGAAAAGCAGCGUUAAACCAGUGCUUCUUUACACCUGUUGCGCCCCUGGUCAUCUGGUCUUACCCCUUCCUCCGGCGGAUCCAGAACCUCCAGCUGAGCUAGCAGGAUUGUGCGGUUUGAUGCAAUGAAGCCCGCACACUUGGGAAGGAGGCCUCACAGACAUGCACCCCUGCCCCGGGGAGACGCUGUCCUAAGCACCCAGUGGGAGCAUAGUGGCUAUCUGGUGACAAUAUCUCAGAGUGGGUUAUCUGGGGAGGGAAGGACCUCACGUGGGUGUGGACCAGGAGGGAACCAAGGUUGAGUGUGCAGAGGCAAGCUUUGCCAAGUGGGUAUUGCCCUGACUUUACUGCAUGAGUGUUCCCUAUAUGCGGUCACGCAUUUGCUGGAAUAAAAGAGAAAACCAGUAUCGCUUAAACUCACAUGGCUCCUUUAUAUACUUUUUAAGGCCUUUUGCAGCUGGAUUAAAUUUGUUACUCAUGGCAACUCUUUGAGGUAGGCAGGCAGUAAGUAUUUUUCUCAUUUCAGGAAGAGAUGACAGCCAGAGGGAUUAAGGAUUUACUCUGCAUCCUUCCUGGGCUGACCCUUUCCACUCUGCAGCCUGCCUUUGAUUUCAUCUAAAAACAAACCAAACAAGCAAAACAGAAACAAAAGCCAAAGAGACUAUUUGCUCAAUUGUCCCAAGUCUUACAAUUUUGAGAGAUGAGAAUGUUUUCUAAAGAGAUAGAUGCAACAGAACGGACUGCUUCCAGAUUAUGAUGCAGUCUGAGGAGUGCCGAAGGCUGUUUGUGGGGGAAGUGGCCCUUCUUUGAUUGCAUUAGUGACACCUGAACUCGCCUCCCCUUCAACUUCCUACUCCAGGGGAAACACAAGUCCCCUCCCCACAGCUCUAUAAAGGGAGCCAGAACAUCCUUGGGGCCAGGGGUCUGUGGUCAGGGCCAGACCAGUGGCCUACGGGAUCCCUCUCCUGCAGGGGUUGGAAACCCGGAAGGAAGAGGGAAAGAGGGCCUCUGGCAGCCAGGAUUGAAGAAUGUGGAUAUCCAGAAGCCUCCAGCAAGCUGGAGGUGUGCACAUCACCCAGGCCCUGACUGUUUCUCAGCACACAUGGCCCUCAGGCUGCACGUCUGCCUAUAGCCGGCUGUCUCAUCUCCCGAGAAUGAAGAAUCCGGCGGCCGAGUUGCCCAAAGAAGCACCCAGAACCAAGGUGCGCUCCCCCACCCCCCACCGGGAGCCCCGGCUACUGAAGACCAGCCCGGAUCACGAGAGUGAGGGGACGCCUUGGAGCCUUUGUCCUGAAAGGGAGACCAUAAAGAUCCCUUUGGAUUGUAACAGUCUGAAAACUUCUGCCCCCGGGAGGCUUGAAGUAGAGAGCUUCGUUUUAUUACUUUUAUUCUAUACAUAUUAUUUUCACUUUCAAUACGUACAUAUAUCAUCUGAAGAAUUUAAGCAGUCACAUGUUUACAGGACUUCCAAAGAAAUCACAACACAGUAGCCUUCUGGCCUGUUCUUUUUUU
This is a long non-coding RNA of Mustela erminea (ermine), 1596 nucleotides long. RefSeq lists it as uncharacterized. The transcript is spliced from 3 exons. The record is from RefSeq and is a predicted model, not a curated record. Lineage: Eukaryota; Metazoa; Chordata; Mammalia; Carnivora; Mustelidae.